Molecule: ribosomal RNA, 432 nt
Filed under: uncultured bacterium
Lineage: Bacteria
Description: partial 16S ribosomal RNA
Rfam family: Bacterial small subunit ribosomal RNA
Source: RNAcentral
GCGAACGCUGGCGGCAGGCCUAACACCUUCAAGUCGAACGAACCUUUCGGGGUUAGUGGCGGACGGGUGAGUAACACGUGGGAACGUGCCUUUAGGUUCGGAAUAACUCAGGGAAACUUGUGCUAAUACCGAAUGUGCCCUUCGGGGGAAAGAUUUAUCGCCUUUAGAGCGGCCCGCGUCUGAUUAGCUAGUUGGUUGAGGUAAUGGCUCACCAAGGCGACGAUCAGUAGCUGGUCUGAGAGGAUGAUCAGCCACAUUGGGACUGAGACACGGCCCAAACUCCUACGGGAGGCAGCAGUGGGGAAUCUUGCGCAAUGGGCGAAAGCCUGACGCAGCCAUGCCGCGUGAAUGAUGAAGGUCUUAGGAUUGUAAAAUUCUUUCACCGGGGACGAUAAUGACGGUACCCGGAGAAGAAGCCCCGGCUAACUUCGU